AGGGCACCGCCAGAUGUGGAGCUUGCGGCUUAAUUUGACUCAACACGGGAAAACUCACCCGGCCCGGACACCGUAAGGAUUGACAGAUUGAUAGCUUUUUCAUGAUUCGGUGGAUGGUGGUGCAUGGCCGUUCUUAGUUCGUGGAUCGAUUUGUCUGGUUUAUUCCGAUAACGAGCGAGACUCCAGCCUACUAACUAGUACGGGCAUUGCCUCUGUGCCCGGCACUUCUUAGAGGGAUUGGCUGCGUCUAGCGGCACGAAACGGAGCAAUAACAGGUCUGUGAUGCCCUUAGAUGUCCGGGGCUGCACGCGCGCUACACUGGCAAAGGCAGCGUGCUUGUCCUUCUCCGAAAGGAGCGGGUAAACCCUUGAAAAUUUGCCGUGAUUGGGAUCGGAAAUUGCAAUUAUUUUCCGUGAACGAGGAAUUCCUAGUAAGUGCGAGUCAUCAGCUCGCGUUGAUUACGUCCCUGCCCUUUGUACACACCGCCCGUCGCUGCCUAGAACUGAGCCAUUUCGAGAA
This 519-nucleotide ribosomal RNA is filed under the name uncultured eukaryote. RNAcentral's name for it is "SSU rRNA". It matches the Rfam family "Eukaryotic small subunit ribosomal RNA", at positions 1161 to 1705 of the family's 1831-position model. The record is from RNAcentral.